CCUACGGGAGGCAGCAGUGGGGAAUAUUGGACAAUGGGCGAAAGCCUGAUCCAGCCAUGCCGCGUGUGUGAAGAAGGCCUUCGGGUUGUAAAGCACUUUCAGUGGGGAAGAAAGCCUUGGGGCUAAUACCCUCGAGGAAGGACAUCACCCACAGAAGAAGCACCGGCUAACUCCGUGCCAGCAGCCGCGGUAAUACGGAGGUGCGAGCGUUAAUCGGAAUUACUGGGCGUAAAGCGCGCGUAGGCGGUCUGAUAAGCCGGUUGUGAAAGCCCCGGGCUCAACCUGGGAACGGCAUCCGGAACUGUCAGGCUAGAGUGCAGGAGAGGAAGGUAGAAUUCCCGGUGUAGCGGUGAAAUGCGUAGAGAUCGGGAGGAAUACCAGUGGCGAAGGCGGCCUUCUGGACUGACACUGACGCUGAGGUGCGAAAGCGUGGGUAGCAAACAGGAUUAGAUACCCCAGUAGUC
Molecule: ribosomal RNA, 464 nt
Filed under: Vreelandella stevensii
Lineage: Bacteria; Pseudomonadati; Pseudomonadota; Gammaproteobacteria; Oceanospirillales; Halomonadaceae
Description: partial 16S ribosomal RNA
Rfam family: Bacterial small subunit ribosomal RNA
Source: RNAcentral